RNAcentral lists this long non-coding RNA (890 nucleotides) under Crocodylus porosus (Australian saltwater crocodile). RNAcentral's name for it is "lncRNA (ENSCPRG00005016233.1)". The record is from RNAcentral. Lineage: Eukaryota; Metazoa; Chordata; Crocodylia; Crocodylidae.
GCUUAUUGUUCCCUGUAGCCCCAGGUCCUUUCCUGCAGAGCUGCCUGCCCAGCCAGUCAGGCCCCAGCCUGCAUGGCUCGUGGGCCUGUUCUGCCCUCAGAACCGUGAGAGGAACGGGCGCCAGGGGAGCAAAGGGCGAGAACCGGGGCAUGGCGCUGCUCCAAGGAGCUCCCUUCAGCAAAGGGGCUUGAGGCGCAGCCCGGGCGUGCCGGCCAGGAAGCACUAGCUGCGCCUUUAAAAGGCUGUAGCCCAGCCCAGCCACCCCCACCCGGAUCUGGCUGACGUGGGGAGGAGGCGCCUGCCGCGAACAAAAGUGCUGCCUUGUCGCAGCGCAGCAACAAGUGCGCGGGGCGCGGGCGCAGUGGAUUACAGCGGGGGCGGCCCCGCCGGGGCGCUGCUCCUUAAACCCCUCAGCUCGGCCAUGCGUGGGGCAUGACGGCGGCAGGAUGGGAGCGAACAAUGGCAAGCAGUGCGGCAGCGAGGGCAAAGGCAGCUCAAGCAUCUCAUCUGAUGUGAGUUCAAGUACAGAUCACACACCGACCAAAGCCCAAAAGAAUGUGGCUACCAGUGAAGUAUAUUUUGAUGGUUAAAAUCCUGAGGAACUCAGCUAUACAGAUGAAGAUAGUACAAUAUUUAAUAAUAAAAUCAGUAUUUAAAAGUGACGGAUCUCAAAUUGCUUUGCUAGUAAAUUGCUACAUGCAGGUCAAAAUCAGAGACCUGAAUGGAACACUUGGAAGUUUUAUAAAGUUAUAAUCUGGAUUAACACGGCUGCUUAGGCUUCACAAGGGCUUUUUUCCUCUUGUGCUGAGGGACAGUGUUUAACAGUAAUAAUUAUUAUUUAAAUAAUAAUAAUGUUCCAGUUUCAGCCUAGGUAACUUAGUCAGGAGAAA